UUUUUGUUGUUGCGUGAGGGAUAGCAGUGAAAAUCCUUUUUUGCCCCUCUUUUUGGGGCAAAAAAGAUUGUAACGAAUAGCCCGACCCGGA
Small RNA from Flavobacterium branchiophilum FL-15, 91 nucleotides. It matches the Rfam family "Flavo-1 RNA". The record is from Rfam. Lineage: Bacteria; Pseudomonadati; Bacteroidota; Flavobacteriia; Flavobacteriales; Flavobacteriaceae.